Molecule: ribosomal RNA, 460 nt
Filed under: uncultured bacterium
Lineage: Bacteria
Description: partial 16S ribosomal RNA
Rfam family: Bacterial small subunit ribosomal RNA
Source: RNAcentral
CCUACGGGUGGCAGCAGUGAGGAAUAUUGGUCAAUGGUCGGGAGACUGAACCAGCCAAGCCGCGUGAGGGAGGAAGGUACAGAGUAUCGUAAACCUCUUUUGUCAGGGAACAAAGACUGGGACGCGUCCCCGGAUGAGUGUACCUGAAGAAAAAGCAUCGGCUAACUCCGUGCCAGCAGCCGCGGUAAUACGGAGGAUGCGAGCGUUAUCCGGAUUUAUUGGGUGUAAAGGGCGUGUAGGCGGGAAUGCAAGUCAGAUGUGAAAACUAUGGGCUCAACCCAUAGCCUGCAUUUGAAACUGUAUUUCUUGAGUGCUGGAGAGGCAAUCGGAAUUCCGUGUGUAGCGGUGAAAUGCGUAGAUAUACGGAGGAACACCAGUGGCGAAGGCGGAUUGCUGGACAGUAACUGACGCUGAGGCGCGAAAGCGUGGGGAGCAAACAGGAUUAGAUACCCCGGUAGUC